This 930-nucleotide ribosomal RNA is filed under the name Ascochyta pisi. RNAcentral's name for it is "SSU rRNA". It matches the Rfam family "Eukaryotic small subunit ribosomal RNA", at positions 122 to 1060 of the family's 1831-position model. The record is from RNAcentral. Lineage: Eukaryota; Fungi; Ascomycota; Dothideomycetes; Pleosporales; Didymellaceae.
UGAUAGUACCUUACUACUUGGAUAACCGUGGUAAUUCUAGAGCUAAUACAUGCUGAAAACCCCAACUUCGGGAGGGGUGUAUUUAUUAGAUAAAAAACCAACGCCCUUCGGGGCUUCUUGGUGAUUCAUGAUAACUUCACGGAUCGCAUGGCCUUGCGCCGGCGACGGUUCAUUCAAAUUUCUGCCCUAUCAACUUUCGAUGGUAAGGUAUUGGCUUACCAUGGUUUCAACGGGUAACGGGGAAUUAGGGUUCGAUUCCGGAGAGGGAGCCUGAGAAACGGCUACCACAUCCAAGGAAGGCAGCAGGCGCGCAAAUUACCCAAUCCCGACACGGGGAGGUAGUGACAAUAAAUACUGAUACAGGGCUCUUUUGGGUCUUGUAAUUGGAAUGAGUACAAUUUAAACCUCUUAACGAGGAACAAUUGGAGGGCAAGUCUGGUGCCAGCAGCCGCGGUAAUUCCAGCUCCAAUAGCGUAUAUUAAAGUUGUUGCAGUUAAAAAGCUCGUAGUUGAAACUUGGGCCUGGCUGGCAGGUCCGCCUCACCGCGUGUACUUGUCCGGCCGGGCCUUUCCUUCUGGAGAACCUCAUGCCCUUCACUGGGUGUGUUGGGGAACCAGGACUUUUACUUUGAAAAAAUUAGAGUGUUCAAAGCAGGCCUUUGCUCGAAUACGUUAGCAUGGAAUAAUAGAAUAGGACGUGCGGUCCUAUUUUGUUGGUUUCUAGGACCGCCGUAAUGAUUAAUAGGGACAGUCGGGGGCAUCAGUAUUCAAUUGUCAGAGGUGAAAUUCUUGGAUUUAUUGAAGACUAACUACUGCGAAAGCAUUUGCCAAGGAUGUUUUCAUUAAUCAGUGAACGAAAGUUAGGGGAUCGAAGACGAUCAGAUACCGUCGUAGUCUUAACCGUAAACUAUGCCGACUAGGGAUCGGGCGA